RNAcentral lists this ribosomal RNA (253 nucleotides) under uncultured bacterium. RNAcentral describes it as "partial 16S ribosomal RNA". It matches the Rfam family "Bacterial small subunit ribosomal RNA", at positions 524 to 776 of the family's 1533-position model. The record is from RNAcentral.
UAUGGGGGGUGCGAGCGUUGUCCGGAAUUAUUGGGCGUAAAGCGCGCGCAGGCGGUCCUUUAAGUCUGAUGUGAAAGCCCACGGCUCAACCGUGGAGGGUCAUUGGAAACUGGGGGACUUGAGUGCAGAAGAGGAGAGUGGAAUUCCACGUGUAGCGGUGAAAUGCGUAGAGAUGUGGAGGAACACCAGUGGCGAAGGCGGCUUUCUGGUCUGUAACUGACGCUGAGGCGCGAAAGCGUGGGGAGCAAACAGG